RNAcentral lists this transfer RNA (49 nucleotides) under Maesa tenera. RNAcentral's name for it is "partial tRNA-Phe". It matches the Rfam family "tRNA", at positions 1 to 47 of the family's 71-position model. From Rfam's summary of the family: Transfer RNA (tRNA) molecules are approximately 80 nucleotides in length. Their secondary structure includes four short double-helical elements and three loops (D, anti-codon, and T loops). Lineage: Eukaryota; Viridiplantae; Streptophyta; Magnoliopsida; Ericales; Primulaceae. The record is from RNAcentral.
GCCGGGAUAGCUCAGCUGGUAGAGCAGAGGACUGAAAAUCCUCGUGUCA